AUUGCGCUCCCUGACUACCUCCUUCGCUUCCUCUUUCACUCUCACACCGUCACUCCACCACAACCACCAUUGCUGUUAGCUUCACUUAACCCCACCACAACAUCUACACCAUUGCCUUAGCUUCACUAAGGUGUUGUUAGAGGAUUGAGAUUAAAGGGUGAGGUACUCCUUAAUACGAAUCAUCGAGGCUCAACUGAAAUGAGACUUGUUUAUGGUUGCUUCAAUACUUUGGGCAGCUGUUCUCAGCCUUAAGGUUGACGAGAAAAUUAUGAAGAAUCCAUAUAUAAGGAAGGAGCUCAAUACUCGUUUCCGUGUUGGAAAGUGUAAGGCAGGCUGCCCAGGCCACUGCAUCAGCCUAGGCAGGCUGCCCGGCCACUGCAGCAGCCAAGGCAAGCUGCCCAGGCAGCUGCAGCAGCCAAGGCAGGCAUCCUAGGCAGCUGCAGUAGCCCAGGCAGGCAGCAACCCAGCAGCCUCUACAUGCACUUUUGCAAGAUUCAAAGAGAAGGCCCGUUAACAAGCAAGGAAAUCAAUGAAGUUCGCGACAUGUGGGCGUUUUUCGUGACAUUUGAUGGCAUCUAGAAUUGUCGGAGUGGUUAUAUUAGUUUGUUAGCUUGACUUUAUUAAUUAGAUAUUAUGAACAUUAUUAUUUUAAGUACGUAGUUAUAUAUGUUUUUAAUAUAUUAACGAACAUUAGUUUAUAAGUAGUAUGUAGUAUUUGUAAUUGUUAUCUUAAUAUAUUUUGGUGUAAUUAAAUAUUAUCGUUCAUUAAAUAUAUUAACGAUGUUUAUUUUAA
This is a long non-coding RNA of Chenopodium quinoa (quinoa), 793 nucleotides long. RefSeq lists it as uncharacterized. Lineage: Eukaryota; Viridiplantae; Streptophyta; Magnoliopsida; Caryophyllales; Amaranthaceae. The record is from RefSeq and is a predicted model, not a curated record. The transcript is spliced from 5 exons.